Molecule: long non-coding RNA, 281 nt
Organism: Chelonia mydas (Green sea turtle)
Lineage: Eukaryota; Metazoa; Chordata; Testudines; Cheloniidae
Exons: 3
Source: RefSeq, a predicted model, not a curated record
GCUUACUUUGCCUAGGGACUGCUGUCAACAGAGGGAGUCCAUCCAAGGAAGAGACUGCCAUGAGACGCACCGCUCCCGAAACUGCCCUGACUGACAGUAAAACUAGCUUUUGCUAGAACUCCUGCUUUCUCAGCAGAACUUCCUACUAUGUUGUCAUUCCCAAGAAGAGGCUUUGUUCCUUUUUCUAAUUGCCAUGUUGUACUCCUCAUCCACCAUGGAAGUAGUGUGCAUUGCAAUAGUGAAGCCUGAAGGUGACAACCAUGGACCACCAUGGCCAGAUC